UAGAGCUAAUACAUGCUGUCAAACCCGACUUUAUGGAAGGGUUGUAUUUAUUAGAUAUUAAGCCAAUAUUCCUUCUGGUCUAUUGUGGUGAAUCAUAGUAACUGAUCGAAUCCCUUUUUGGGAUAAAUCAUUCAAGUUUCUGCCCUAUCAGCUUUCGAUGGUAGUGUAUUGGACUACCAUGGCAGUCACGGGUAACGGAGAAUUAGGGUUCGGUUCCGGAGAGGGAGCCUGAGAAACGGCUACCACAUCUAAGGAAGGCAGCAGGCGCGUAAAUUACCCAAUCCUGAUUCAGGGAGGUAGUGACAAGAAAUAGCAAACUGGAUGAUUUUUCAUCACAGUAUUGCAAUGAGAACAACGUAAAUGCUUUAUCGAUUAACAAUUGGAGGGCAAGUCUGGUGCCAGCAGCCGCGGUAAUUCCAGCUCCAAUAGCGUAUAUUAAAGUUGUUGCAGUUAAAAAGCUCGUAGUUGAACUUCUGUACGUUCCCAGUUCUGGCUUUGGUCAAGCUGUGGAGCGUGCAUCCGCUUGCAAACUUAGACCGGCCUUCACUGGUCGACUAAGGGAGUAAGCCCUUUACUUUGAAAAAAUUAGAGUGUUUCUAGCAGGCUUUGGCUCGAAUACAUUAGCAUGGAAUAAUGGAAUAGGACUUUUGUCCAUUUGGUUGGUUAUUGGACAUUAGUAAUGAUUAAAAGGGACAGUUGGGGGCAUUAGUACUUAAUAGUCANGAGGUGAAAUUCUUGGAUUUAUUAAAGACUAACUUAUGCGAAAGC
Molecule: ribosomal RNA, 768 nt
Filed under: Philasterida sp.
Lineage: Eukaryota; Ciliophora; Oligohymenophorea; Philasterida
Description: SSU rRNA
Rfam family: Eukaryotic small subunit ribosomal RNA
Source: RNAcentral